Molecule: ribosomal RNA, 646 nt
Filed under: uncultured bacterium
Lineage: Bacteria
Description: bacterial SSU rRNA
Rfam family: Bacterial small subunit ribosomal RNA
Source: RNAcentral
GAUGAACGCUAGCGGCAGGCCUAAUACAUGCAAGCCGAGCGGUAGAGAUUCUUCGGAAUCUUGAGAGCGGCGCACGGGUGCGGAACACGUGUGCAACCUACCUUUAUCAGGGGGAUAGCCUUUCGAAAGGAAGAUUAAUACCCCAUAAUAUAUUUGAUGGCAUCAUUAGAUAUUGAAAACUCCGGUGGAUAGAGAUGGGCACGCGCAAGAUUAGAUAGUUGGUGAGGUAACGGCUCACCAAGUCAAUGAUCUUUAGGGGGCCUGAGAGGGUGAUCCCCCACACUGGUACUGAGACACGGACCAGACUCCUACGGGAGGCAGCAGUGAGGAAUAUUGGACAAUGGGUGAGAGCCUGAUCCAGCCAUCCCGCGUGAAGGACGACGGCCCUAUGGGUUGUAAACUUCUUUUAUACUGGGAUAAACCUACUCUCGUGAGAGUAGCUGAAGGUACAGUAUGAAUAAGCACCGGCUAACUCCGUGCCAGCAGCCGCGGUAAUACGGAGGGUGCAAGCGUUAUCCGGAUUUAUUGGGUUUAAAGGGUCCGUAGGCGGACUCGUAAGUCAGUGGUGAAAUCUCAUAGCUUAACUAUGAAACUGCCAUUGAUACUGCGGGUCUUGAGUAAAGUAGAAGUGGCUGGGAUAAGUAGU